UGGUUGCAGUGCCGACUGCAUUGUCCGAGAACGUGGAUGCAGUGCCCAGGCAUUGGAUGCAGUGUCCCACAAGGUGCAUGCAGUAUGUUGUGAUGGAGGAUGCAGUGCCCAUGAGGGUGGAUGCAGUAAUCCGGCAGUGGUUGCAGUGCAUCCUGCUGUGUCCCUGAAUGUGCAUGCUCUGAACAUGCAGUGGAUGCAGUGAUCCUGCAGUGAUUGCAGUGUGCCUGCAUUUCCACAUCAGCUGGAAGCAGUGUCCCUGCAGGGGCUGUAGUGCUGCCUUUUGUGUCACUGAAGGUGAAUCAGUGCCCAUGCAGUGGAUGAAUUGUACCUAAAGGUUUAUGCAGUAUAUUGUGAUGCAGGAUGCAGUGCCCAUGAAGGGGGCUGCAGUGU
RNAcentral lists this long non-coding RNA (390 nucleotides) under Equus caballus (horse). RNAcentral's name for it is "lncRNA (ENSECAG00000050654.1)". The record is from RNAcentral. Lineage: Eukaryota; Metazoa; Chordata; Mammalia; Perissodactyla; Equidae.